This is a long non-coding RNA of Tympanuchus pallidicinctus (lesser prairie-chicken), 863 nucleotides long. RefSeq lists it as uncharacterized. The transcript is spliced from 6 exons. Lineage: Eukaryota; Metazoa; Chordata; Aves; Galliformes; Phasianidae. The record is from RefSeq and is a predicted model, not a curated record.
UGGAACUUCUUGAUGGUCUGAUGAUUCUAGAAGCUGAUGCAUGCAGUGAAAUAGUAGCUAGCACGAAGAUUCAACACUGAGGAGUGGUGAUGUGCCUACUGGAGGUCUUGAGAACACUGCUGGUUCCUUCCAGAUGGAAGUGGAGAGUUUUGACAUGAGCUGCAGCAGAGUGGAGAGAAAAACACUGAGAAUCCCAGAAGUUCGCCAGAAAAGCAGAUUUGGUUGAAAAGGCAUUUGUGGUGCUUUGGACAGAAUACGUGAGUUCACACCAGGGGACUUGCACUACAUUCCUGGAUGGUCUGCUGCCUUCUCCAAGUGCCUCAUACACCAGGCUUCUUCUCGUCAUUGGAUGCUGCUGUACAACUGUAUCUUUAGCAACCCUGUACAUCUGUGGAUCAAAUGUAUGAUCAUGAGGCAAAAGAAGAGAUGAAGUCUGUAAGGGAUCUCCUAACUAGAUAUGCCAGGCAUGAAAAGAGAUGAAUCAAAAUAAGAAUAAUUGAAGAUACUCACCCUUUCCCUCAGGGAAAGAAUUAAGAGCAUCACUGCAACUGCUUGGAAACAGCCCAAAAGUCAAGCUGUCAGGAGAAUGGCAAAAGAACAGAAUGCAGAGAAGCAAGAAAAAAAACCCACGUAACUGAAUUGCCAUCUGAACUAAAAACGCUGAAGAAAAUGAAAUGACUAGACCAUUCAAUUUUUCAUUGGCCACAGAAUCCACUGCCCUCUCAUUGUCAGACAGGCACUGUUGUCGCUGUGAGUUCCUUUGGGAUCAAGCCUCUCCUUAGCAUCACCAUUGUCAACGCAUUUGGCUGGCCCACAGUUGGAGGACUUAUGUUUCACUGUAAUUUCUUCCAAAACAUUCAGAA